This 16376-nucleotide long non-coding RNA is filed under the name Mytilus galloprovincialis (Mediterranean mussel). The record is from RNAcentral. Lineage: Eukaryota; Metazoa; Mollusca; Bivalvia; Mytilida; Mytilidae.
AACUGUCUACAAUCCUAUAUUUUUUUUAUCAUGUAUCGUCAAUAUUUAAUAUAAUAAGUCCGGUGACGGUUUUAUUUUACACUUUAAUGACAUAAGUGGUGUACAAUUAAUAGAAGAGCAGUUAAUCACUGCCUCGUUCUGAAUAAAUGUUUGCUUCCUGCUCUUCUAUUCAUUAGGAGGAAAUACAUUAAAAAGGCGACGAAAUUAUCUUUAACAAGCAAUAUGUAAAAGUUAUAGCAAUAUAAGGUCAGUAAGCUUGUUUUGUUCUAUAUAUAUGUAUUUUUAUUUUUAUAUUGCCCACUUAUUUAACGACAUAGAUGAUUGUUAGAUGAGCCUCAUAUUAAUGUAAUCUCGCCACUUUGGCUUAUAUUUUAUACAUUUGACGAUAUUUGUAAGAGAAAUUGAAAGACACAAAUAAGAUUAGCAUAGGAAAGAUGAAAACAAAGGUUGAUAAAAAAAAAGUGUAGAAUUAUAUCAGUCUUAGGCUGGACCUUUUGUAGAAACAACUAUAUGUUGAGAGAAAUUUAAAAAAAAAACACACACGUUUUACUGGUCUUUCAUUCUUAAAACGUUAAUAAUAAAUUUAUCUUGUACCAUUUACUUUGCAAUAUCAUUUGACAGACAGUGUCGAAAUACUAGUUCGCUAAAUAUGUAAUAUUUGAUAAUCAGUAAACAUGGUUUGUUACAUGUAGCUGAAUCCAUUUAAUUAAUGUUGUCAGUGUUCACUGAUUUCCCCUUUUGACAAUUUGAAACAAAUGUUCUCACUUGACUGAUCAAUAAAAAGGAGGCUUAUAAUAUGCAUGUUAAGUAACAUGUUCAAAUAAAACAAGUCAAGAUGGUUGUGUAUCAACAUAGUGAAAUAGGAUUCAUAUUAUACACCAACGACAAUUAAAGAGGGGUUGAGCAUGUUAACAACACCUCGAUUUUGACAAAAAUGCAAAAAUGCUGAUACAGUUAACAAAUUGUUGAAAACAGUUAACAGCUUUAAAUUGUCUCAAAUAACAGUACAACGCCUUAAAGGGAAAACAGGUUAACAUAAAAAGGUAGCCCCCCUCAUUAAAUAGUAUUUAAACCUACCAAUAAACCUACCAUACAAAUACCAAACCUAGAGCCAGAAUGAUUUACUCUUUAAUGAAAGAAUGCACGUCUUUAUGGUGUUAUUAUUCUAAGUUUAGUUCCAAAGGGUAUAUUGUUAUAAAGGUCUUAGGGUUUACCAUAUUACAUUGUUUGAUACCUAAAACGAGACAACAUGUACUAGACAUGUAAAUCAACCGAUUGACUUUGAAGUCUGUGUCAAUGACAUCAGACAACAACAAAAAUGUCAUCAAUUGAUUAGGUUUUCUCUCCCAAUGACACAAUUCAACCUAUACACAUCCUGUGAUUGUUUAUACAGUUCGUCUCAAUGACGUCAGCCAACAUAUUAAAUAGGUAUCCGGUUUAGUAUGCUGUAUGUAUUAAUGACACAAGACAACAUAUAAUAUAAUCCUCCGAUUUAGUAUGCUCUAUGUAUUAAUGACACAAGCCAACAUAUAAUAUAAUCCUCCGAUUUAUUAUGGUGUAUGUAUUAAUGAUACAAGACAAUAUAUAAUAUAAUCCUCCGAUUUAUUAUGCUGUAUGUAAUAAUGACACAAGACAACAUAUAAUAUAAUCCUCCGAUUUAUUAUGCUGUAUGUAUUAAUGACACAAGACAACAACAAAAUUUCAUCAAUUGAUUACGUUUUCUCUCCCAAUGACACAAUCCAACCUAUACACAUCCUGUGAUUGUUUAUACAGUCCGUCUCAAUGACGUCAGCCAACAUAUAAAAUAGUCCUUCGGUUUGUUAUGCUCUAUGUAUUAAUGACACGAGGCAACAUAUACCAUAAUUCUCAGAUUGAUUAUACAAUCUGUCUAUAACGUGCCAACAUAUUAAUAGUUAUGUUUAGUAUGCUGUAUGUAUUAAUGACACAAGACAACAUAUAAUAUAAUCCUCCGAUUUAGUAUGCUCUAUGUAUUAAUGACACAAGACAACAUAUAAUAUAAUACUCCGAUUUAUUAUGCUGUAUGUAUUAAUGAUACAAGACAAUAUAUAAUAUAAUCCUCCGAUUUAUUAUGCUGUAUGUAAUAAUGACACAAGACAAUAUAUAAUAUAAUCCUCCGAUUUAUUAUGCUGUAUGUAAUAAUGACACAAGACAACAUAUAAUAUAAUCCUCCGAUUUAUUAUGCUGUAUGUAUUUAUGACACAAGACAAUAUAUAAUAUAAUCCUCCGAUUUAUUAUGCUGUAUGUAUUAAUGACACAAGACAACAAAUAAUAUAAUCCUACGAGUUAUUUUGCUGCAUGUAUUAAUGACACAAGACAAUAUAUAAUAUAAUCCUCCGAUGUAUUAAUGACACAAGACAAUAUAUAAUAUAAUCCUCCGAUGUAUUAUGCUGUAUGUAUUAAUGACACAAGACAAUAUAUAAUAUAAUCCUCCGAUUUAUUAUGCUGUAUGUAUUAAUGACACAAGAAAAUUAUAAUAUAAUCCUCCGAUUUAUUAUGCUGUAUGUAUUUAUGACACAAGACAAUAUUAAAUAUAAUCCUCCGAUUUAUUAUGCUGUAUGUAUUAAUGACACAAGACAACAUAUAAUAUAAUCCUCCGAUUUAUUAUGCUGUAUGUAUUAAUGACACAAGACAAUAUAUAAUAUAAUCCUCCGAUUUAUUAUGCUGUAUGUAUAAUGACCCAAGACAAUAUAUAUAUAAUCCUCCGAUUAUGCUGUAUGUAUUAAUGACACAAGACAACAUAUAAUAUAAUCCUCCGAUUUAUUAUGCUGUAUGUAAUAAUGACACAAGACAACAUAUAAUAUAAUCCUCCGAUGUAUUAUGCUGUAUGUAAUAAUGACACAAGACAAUAUAUAAUAUAAUCCUUCGAUUUAUUAUGCUGCAUGUAUUAAUGACACAAAACAAUAUAUAAUAUAAUCCUCCGAUUUGUUAUGCUGUAUGUAUAAUUGACACAAGACAACAUAUAAUAUAAUCCUCCGAUUUAUUAUGCUGUAUGUAUUAAUGACACAAGACAAUAUAUAAUAUAAUCCUCCGAUUUAUUUUGCUGUAUGUAUUAAUGACACAAGACAAUAUAUAAUAUAAUCCUCCGAUUUAUUAUGCUGUAUGUAUUAAUGACACAAAACAACAUAUAAUAUAAUCCUCCGAUUUGUUAUUCUGUAUGUAAUAAUGACACAAGACAAUAUAUAAUAUAAUCCUCCGAUGUAUUAUGCUGUAUGUAUUAAUGACACAAGACAAUAUAUAAUAUAAUCCUCCGAUGUAUUAUGCUGUAUGUAUAAUGACAUGACAAUAUAUAAUAUAAUCCUCCGAUUUAUUAUGCUGUAUAUUAAUGACAAGACAACAUAUAAUAUAAUCCUGAUAUUAUGCUGUUUGUAUUAAUGACACAAGACAUAUAUAUAAUCCGAUUAUUUUGCUGUAUGUAUUAAUGACACAAGACAACAUAUAAUAUAAUCCUACGAGUUAUUUUUGCUGUAUGUAUUAAUGACACGAGACAACAUAUAAUAUAAUCCUCCGAUGUAUUAUGCUGUAUGUAUUAAUGACACAAAACAAUAUAUAAUAUAAUCCUCCGAUUUAUUAUGCUGUAUGUAUUAAUGACACAAGACAACAUAUAAUAUAAUCAUCCGAUUUAUUAUGCUGUUUGUAUUAAUGACACAAGACAACAUAUAAUAUAAUCAUCCGAUUUAUUAUGCUGUUUGUCUCAAAGACACCAGACCAUAUGUUAUAUAAUCCCCCGAUUGAUUAUCAAGACUUAUCAAUUACACCAGACAAAAUGUAAUACAAUCCACCGAUUGCUUAACAUGUCUGUCGCAAUGACAACAUAAAAUAUGCAAUAUAAUCCAUCGAUUGAUUAUGCUGUAUGUCUCAAUGACACCAGACAACAUAUGAUACAAUCCCCUGAUUGAUUAGUCUGUCCGUUUCAAGGACACCAAGUAACAUAUAAUGUAUUUCACCAUUUGAUUAUGCUGUCUGUCUCAAUGACAUCAGACAACAUAUAUAAUAAAAAAAAAUUAUUAUUCUGUCCGUCGCAUUGAUACCAGGUAACACAAUGUAUUUCACCAUUUGAUUAUGCUGUCUGUCUCAGUGACACCAGAAAUACAUCGAUUGAUUAUCAUGUUUGUCUUCAUGACGUCAGACAAUAUAUAGUAGAGCAACGUUUUUGAAAACAACAGAGAGAGAGGGCAUCACUACUGUUGUACAUUUUAAUAAAACACCGUUAUACAGAAUUAAGAAAAAACAAAAACAUAACUGUAUCAAUGCUGUUUACAGUUUAGAAUUAAAAUUCAUGCAAACAAAUGGAGUUAAAAUUCAUUGAACGCACAAAAUGACUGGUUUCCACACCCUUGUUUUAUGCGCUUUCGAAACAAAGUGUGUUUAUACAUUUAACAUCUUGUAAUAACUUUUUUUUAUUUUCUUAUAAACUCUUAAUAUUCUAAAUAUUACCGCUUAAUAUAAAAACUAUUACCCCUUAAUUAACUAAAUAUUACCCCUUAAUAUAUUAAAAAUUACCCCACAAUACCUUUAAUAUUUACUACACUCGUAAUAACAUGCAUUAAAACGUACAUUAUAUAAGGUUAAAAUCAGAAAAUGUAGAGAAUUUAACAUGUCUACUUAAAACCUACGGAUGCUGUCAAGUGUAAAUCUUUAUAUUUACAACCUAUAUCUUCCUGUUAUGAUGAGUCAACAUUCAACGUAUAAUGUUAUCACGUAGAAAGUAUUAUGUUUAUAUUCAAAACCUUGUUUCAAGGUCGAACUAAAUGUAAAAUGACAGAGUAUAUAACGGUCAGAAAUAACUUAUACAUUACCCAAGUGGUCACUUUUACACUGGUCGAAUGUCAUCCUCUUUAUUUCCCUAGUUGUUUUUUUAAAGAUAAUUUAAAAGUUAUCGUUCAUAUCAUGCAUAUUGUACGAGUUGUCGUAUUGUUUAUUGGCCAAGUUUUACAAAAUCAAGUGGUCAUUCAGUAGAUUUAUCAGUAGUUAUCUUAUAAAUAAAGGCAACAGUAGUAUACCGCUGUUCAAAACUCAUAAAUCCAUGGACAAAAAACAAAAUCGGGGUAACAAACUAAAACUGAGGGAAAUGCAUUAAAUAUAAGAGUAGUAUUACUUGAAUGUAUAUUUACCCGAGUGUUAUCUGAUUUAUUUCCCUAGUGGUUAUUUUGUAUAUUGAUCGAGUGUUAUUCAUUAUAUUAUUCAACUGGUCGUUUUGUAAGAUUGACCAUUGCUUAUCUAAUCAUUACAUAAGUGGUCCUUGCGUAGAGAAUUGGCCGUCUGUCAUUUUUUUUUAGAUUUGCAUUUUGGCAGUUGUCUUAUAUAUUACCUUGUACGUAGUCGUUUUACACAUGACAACAUGUUACCGUCAUUUUGGUAAUUGGCCGAUGGUUAUUUAUAAUAUAUCUCAGUGGUUGUAUUGUCGAUUGGCCGUUUGUUAACGUUUAUAAAGCAUGGUUGCUCAUUUUGUUGAUUAGUCAAAUGAGAACUUAAACGCGUGGAAAUUUAGUUUGAAUGAUUGAGCGUUACCUAAUUUGUUACCCGAUUAACAUUGAUUCAGAUUGACCGAGUGCUACCUGACAUAUAACCGAGUCUUACUUGGUUGAUUGGCAGAGUUUUGUUCUUAUUUAUAAACCAUUAUUUUUUAGUUUGAGCUAGGGUAAACGCAGUCAGGUUAUAAUGUUUACUGUUAUUGAGGGCUUAUUGCCCUGUUCAGAAAGAACCAAUCAAGUUUGAAAGCGGUCUUUGUAUAUCCACAAGCAUACGUUCUAUACACUGUGUUGGUCUAUGUUUUUCAAUAACCGUGACGUAUUAACAAAAGUAUUUUGACACAAGAAGUGAACAGAUAAACGGCAGGAAAAUAAAAAUCGUCUUUGAAUAUUAUACAUUCCCCAGUCAACAGAAAACGACUGUUUUAAAAUAUGAAAAAAAACUAAUGUUGAAUAAUGUCGAAAUAAAAAACAAUUCUUUGUUAAAAUACGUAUAAAAUAUCAUUAAAACGCUUUUAAUAAACGAAUAAACCCUUACAUGUUAGUUCGUAGUGAAAAUGAUCAUAGAACAUUAAUUAAACUAUGGAAUAAUUGUGCUUUAAACUUACUAUCAGUUUUUGUGAGUACUCCUAUUUACAACUAAAGUUGCUGCGUGACUAUUGCUUUUGCGUAAGUUGGUUUUUCAGUGCUUCGAACCAAUUGAUCAAGUUAACUUAUUAGUACAGUGCAUUUCUUUUUUCCAUGUUAAUGAAGAAUUGAGCGGUAACAGUCAUAUUUCACCCCGCCAUUUACUUUAUAUGCCUGUACCAAGACAAAGGCCUGUUAUCAGUGGUUCAUGUCUGUCAUAUUUGCUGUUUAUAAUCUACUUUUCUAUAUAAAUGUGGCUGUUAGUUUUCAUGUCUGAAUUGUGUCACACUUUCAACUAAACAGGAUAGGUAUUUCUCAUUGUUGAAGGCCGUCAGUUGUCAUUCAAUUUUGUUUGGUCUUCUUUCUUUUAAAAACUGUAUACCUGUCCCAAAGCCUCGUUUAAUUCAUUAUAUACUUAUCGCAAAUUCAGAAUAAUAUUUAUCUGUUCUGUUCUGGAGACCGUUUCAAUGUGUUGCAUGUUCUUCACAUGGUACUUUGUUGAUGAUGUUUGUGGAGACGAACAGCGCGUAAGCCGCACGAAAUGUUAAAACUGGUAGAAACAAAUUGUACAUAUACCAUCUACACGUGCAUGGUCACUUGUUUACAAUGAAAUGCGUUAUACCAAGUCUUAUGAUAUAGGUAAAUGCGCCUAGUCCGACCUUACACAAAUGAAUUCGAACUUAAAAAAAGUACUGCCUACAAAUCAUAACAAAAACAAAUAAAUGGAUGAAACCUUGGAACCUUAUCAACGUUUCGGAAUUAACUACCCGCUUUAGUGUUGACUUACAUUUUAUGCAGAUCAAGUCGAAUAUGUAUUUUACAUUGAUUGAUAAUGAUAUGUUAGCAUGUAUGUUCACUUGACAAAAUUGGAGGAUAUAUACAAUCAUAAUCAUUAUCAGGACUUUGUUACUGUUAAUUCAGAAAAUUAUGCAGAUGAUUAUACUUUUGCGAUAAAUCAACGGGGUUAUAAUUGCAACAGUUGAAACUUGCAUUAGGAAAUAUUGUAUUUGAAUAGAACAAAAUCGCAAUAAUAACAUGAAUAAAGGCACGCACUAAUUUCUGAAUUAACAGUAUUCCAAGCUAGAAUAAAGAAAUGAUUUACAGGACAUUAUACGAUGAGUCGUAUGUAGACGAAACGCGAGUCUGGCGUACUAAAUUAUUAUCCUGGAACCUUUGAUAACUAGUUACACCACUGGUGCGAUGCCACUGCUGUCGGACGUUUUGUCCUCGGGGGUUUCACCCGCCCAGUAGUCGGCACUCAGGUGUUGACAUGGAUAUUAAUAAUGUGGUAUUUUUUUGUAAAUUUUCUGUUUACAAAACUUUGAAUUUUCGAAAAAAAGAAGGAUUUUCCUAUCCCAGGCAUAGAUUACCUUACCCGUAUUUGGCACAACAUUUUUAGAAUUUUGAUUUCUAAAUGCUAGACUUUGUACUUUUUUGGCUUAAUGAUUAUUUUGGUAUGAGCGUCACUGAUCACGAAAUGCUCGUACUAAUAUAUAAUCCUGGUACCUUUGAUAACUAUUGACCAUCAAAUUGAAGUUUGAAAUAAUAUAGAGGUAAUUGUCAUUACCUGUUACUCCUCCUAUAUACAUAACACUACUUACUGGACAUGCAUAUUAUAAUACUGUCAUCGAAUAAAUCAUUACUUCCCUCCCCCUUUUUAAUUGUUUUUCCUUAAACUAAGAAAAAUCAGAUUGACUGUAAGUGGAUAGUUGUUUCAUUUGCAAUCCUAUAGCAUCUUAUUUAGUUUGUAUUGGUUAUCUUCAGACUCAUGUAUAUGUUUUAAAAAUAUGAGCUUUUUUUUAAUUCUCAAUAGUUAAUCAAACUGUAAUUACAUGUUUUCAAUAUUGGUUAGCAUUAUGUCUAUAAAUUGUCGAGAACAGCCUUUUUUUUAAUCUGUAAUGUUCGUUGUCGGCACCAGAACAGAUAACAGCAAUGCGUUAUUUGAGUAUAUUGUUUCAUAAAUGCUAUUAAUGGUUUCAAAACCGGUAUUCUUUUAUGUUUUCUGAAUUUCAAAUACGUAACAUUUUCAAGAUGCAUGAACACAAUUGAGAUAUGUUGUUUAAACGUUGAAAAUCAUGUCAGUCACAUAUUUCUUUGAACAUUUUUUAGAUUAUGUUGAUAACACAAAGAAACAACAUUGCCUUAGACAGAUUACUCAUAUGAUUUGCUAAUUUUCCCUUUGUUACCAGUUGAAACUGAUUGUCCUACAAAUUAAGCUACAAAUACACCGUUUAAUGAAGUAGAUAUUUACUGUAAAAAAAUCAUUAUUAUGGUAGUUGUUUUCAAUUCGUAUGUUGCGCUUGAGAUUUUGAUUCUGCCAACUUAUAAAGUACUUUUCCUUUUGUUUUUCUUUUGGAGUUCGAUUUUUUUGUUAUUGUUUUUUUUCAAAACUUUUAAAGAAAACAAUAUAACUAAAAAAUGUUUGAUGAGUAUAUCUAAAUAAAUAAUUUUAAGAGAACUACCUGUGCCCGUUAUGACUGUACAUAGAAAGGAGAAUGACAGUUUGAAUGGUUUUACAUCUAGUUAUUUUAAGGGCCCUUUAUAGCUUGCUGUUCGGUAUGGGUCAAGGCUUCUUAUGGAAGACCAUACUUAGACCUAUAAUUGUUUACUUUUAUAAAGUAUGACUUGGAUGGAGAGUUGUAUCCUUGGCACUCAUACAACAUCUUCCUAUAUCUAUUGAGCUUUUGAUUUUGCUUUUUGAUAAAUCACUUUAUUUGAAUUUGCAUUGGAGUUCGGUAUUUAGGUUAUUCUACUUUCUACAAAACAUUAGGAUUGUUUUCAACAUCGAUUUAAUAAGACGUUUAAAUAGCCUAUAAUUAGUAUGGCGUUCAUUAUCACUGGACUAGUAUAUAUUUGUUUAGGGGGCAGCUGAAGGACGCCUCCGGGUACGGGAAUUUCUCGCUACAUUGAAGACCUGUUGGUGACCCUUUGCUGUUGUUUUUUAUUUGGUCGGGUUGUUGUCUCUUUAACACAUUCCCCAUUUCCAUUCUCAAUUUUAUUAUUGAAAUUUGUGGACAAUUUUAUAUUAUUUUUAGGUUUAUAUAAGUAUACACGUGUUGCAUGCCAAUUUCACAAAACCGCUAUGAAUAAUUACAAUUUAAAAAAAAAAUGCUUGCAGUACAUUUUAAGUGAUUAUCGGCCAAAAUCAACUUAUUUAGCCAAAUGUGAAGCUUAACGCAGUGUCAACCUAACUGUUUACCAAAAUAACUGUUCAAUACCAAAUAUGUCAUGCUAAAUUGAAAUGUACUUACUGCAUCAUAUUAUUUCAUAUUAAAUAACGUACUUGUCUGUACGAUGCAAUUGGACUGAAGACAACUCGCUGCGUUGUCAAUUCGCCCAACUGAUGGAAAACAGUUUAUCUGUUGCUUAAUAAAGAUGUCAACUCAACCCUAAACUUCAUAGGACUGGAAUCUAGUAAGAAAAAAAUUAACCAUAAUUAACAAGAUCCAAAACUUGAUUUAAUAAUGAAAACUAUAUGCAAUCCUUGCUUUUUUCAAGAUUUCGAAACACGUUAGGUUUAUCGCAUUGAGUGAAUACUGUAAUAUAUAGAUUUAAAUAAAAACAAGUAAAAAUUAUCAGUCUCCUCCACCCGUUAUAUAAUAGAUGUAUAGUAAAUAAUAAAUUGAAAGCAUUAAAUAAAUCAACAAAUAACGUCAAGCUAAUCUAAUGAAAAUAUUAUGAUAUAUCCACUUGUAACCUACGGAAGAUGUCAAUAUUUACACCCUUCAUCUUCCUGUGAUGAUGCGUCAUCAUUUAACUUAUGAUUUUGUCACGUAGUACUUCUUUGUAUAUACUUGUUUUCAAGGUCGAAAACAAUGUACAACAAUAACUAAACAUGUUGCAGUCUGAUUUAUCACAAAUAUUUCCCAAGUGUAGUCUCUUUAUUAUGAGAUUGACCAUUUAUAUUUCGUAAAAAAUUACUUGUAUUCGUUUAUAAUGCGAAAUCAUUGUGCUUUUUUCCCGAUGAGAUAUUUCAGAUAGCUGGUGGCUGAUGUUUUCUGUUGGACGUUUUAAUAUUCAAUUCAGUGAGAGAAAAAAAACCGCUAUUAAUACAAAUAAACUCAUCAUAGAUACCAGGACUAAAUUUUGUAUAUACACCAGACGCGCGUUUCGUCUCCAAAAGACUCAUCAGUGACGCUCGAAUCCAAAAAAGUUUUAAAAAGCCAAAUAAAGUACAAAGUUGAAGAGCAUUGAGAUCGAAAAUUCCUAAAAGUGUUGCCAAAUACAGCUAAGGUAAUCUAUGCCUGAGGUAGAAAAGCCUUAGCAUUUAAAAAAUAUCGAAAUUUUGUAAACAGUUAAUCUAUAAAUAUACUAGGCUUGUGAUACCCUCGGGGAAAUAAAUCUCCACCAGCAGUGGCAUCGACCCAGUGGUUGUAAAUAAACUCAUCAUAGAUACCAGGACUAAAUUUUGUAUAUACACCAGACGCGCGUUUCGUCUUCAAAAGACUCAUCAGUGACGCUCGAAUCAAAAACAAAAAAAGGCAUGAUAACUAAAAGCUAACACUUCACAUAAGGAGAACGCUUCUCCGUCCCAUCGUAAUUAUGUUUGUAGUAAAAUCUGGAGGACACAUACUUAAUUAAAUCAUAAUUAAAAAAAUGCUUUUGAUAUGAUCAAAAUGUAUUAUCACAGAAAAAAGUAAAAUCACAAAAAUACUGAACUCAGAGGAAAAGCAAUUCGGAAAGUCCAUAAUCACAUGGCAAAAUCAAAUAACAAAACGCAUCAAAAACGAAUGGACAAGAACUGUCAUAUUCCUGACUUGGUACAGGCAUUUUCAAAUGUAGAAAAUGGUGGAUUGAACCUGGUUUUAUAGCUAGCUAAACCUCUCACUUGUAUGACAGUCGCAUCAAUUUCCAUUAUAUUGUCAUCGAUGCGUGAACAAAACAAACAGACACAAUAGGUCAAAAUGUCAAAAAUAGGGGUACAGCAGUCAACAUUGUGUUAUCAUCUUAAUCACUAUAAAAACAACAAAUGUAACGAAGAAGCACAAAAAGGCAUACAUCAAAUUAACAUCCUCAUUUUGAUUAUAUUAUACGAUUUUAUUUGUCUAUGUAAAAUGCACCCAUCAAGGAAGGAGGGUUUUGAGUACUGGUGUAAAAUUGCGCGUUUGAAAUUCGCACAGGUAGACAUGAAAUAAUUUUGUCGUUCAAAGUAUGACGAUAGAGAAAAGUUUGUAUUUAUAUAGAAUUUACAUUUGUAAUAGGCGGUACCAAAUCAAUAUGAAAACAUAAUUAUGUACUGACUUGUUGGUCUUUUUGGUUCUGACUUGAAUCACCACUAACGAUUGGUGCCCGUUGUGUGUUGAUAAUUAGAAGAUACCAUCAACUGGUAUUUGCACCCACCAAAUCACUAAUUGAUGGCGUUGGCGCCUAAAAUACAUCACAACUAUCUCUAUACGUCAAAUAAUGCAUUUAAAAUCUAUUACACGUUAUCUGAGGUUGGGCGUCCGUUUUCCUAACACACAUUGUAAGUUGAUGCCAUGAAAAUUAGUGAUGUUAUCUAAUCAACCUAAACGUUAUACAUGAUGUUUCAUUAACAUAUAAAAAAGAAGAUGUGGUAUGAUUGCCAAUGAGACAACUGUCCACAAGAGACCAAAAUGACACAAACAUUAACAACUAUAGGUCACCGUACGGCCUUCAACAAUGAGCAAAGCCCAUACCGCAUAGUCAGCUAUAAAAGGCCCCGAUAAGACAAUGUAAAACAAUUCAAACGAGAAAACCAACGGCCUUAUUUAUAUAUAAAAAAAUGAACGAAAAACAAAUAUGUUACACAUAAACAAACGACAAUCACUGAAUUACAGGCUCCUGAUUUGGGACAGGCACAUACAUAAAUAAUGUGGCGGGGCUAAACAUGUUGGCGGGAUCCCAACCCUCCCCUAACCAUUUGCUAACAUAAGAACGAUAUAUGUUUGAUAUUCAUUUAUUUGUAAAUGCAUUCUUACAUGUAAUCUAAAUAUACGCACCUUCAAAAUGCCGCCUAAUUGUAAAUAUUUUGUCUUGAAUUAAAAUUCAAAUCAUUAUCACCCAUGACAGACUGAUAUGGGAAAACAAAUCAAGGACAAACCCAGCAAAUUUUUUAAAAUAUCACGUUUCUACUUCUUACAGAAGCUCAAUGCCAAGUGCAAUCUACAAUCUACAUCUUCUUGUUAUGAUGAGUCAACAUUCAUAUCAUAGUGUUAUUACGGAGUACAUGUAGUAAUUAUACUCUCUUUUAAAAUAUUUUUAAAAUAUGUUGUCAAAAAUAUAAUUACUCGAGUAAGCCGAUUGUUUUUUAUUCAUAAUUUCUGAAAUUCUCAAAUGUUUUUUUCACUAGUCAGAUUAAUUGCUAAAUAUUUUUGCCCGUCCUAUGUGAGAAGACUGUAGGUCAGUGGGUGUAGCCAAUAGAUGUAUGUGACAAUUUCUUGAAUUUUUUUGUUAUAGAUUGACAGUUUGUUGAUGUUUCAUGUGGAUACCUUUUAUAGUCAUUUAUAUAGUAUGGGGUUUUCUCAAUGUUGAAGGCCAUGCUUGUGUCUACAAUUCUUGACACCCAUUACAUUUGACAUCUGAAGGACACUUUUUUUUCUGGCAAUCAUAAAACAUCUCUUACUUUUAUAUCAGUCAUGUUUUCUAAAGCGAAAUCAGAACCAGUAACUUAAAGUAAAGACUACAGUAUAACCAGCAGUCAUUGAUUAUUAAGUUUAAUUACGGUGCACUCAUGUUUUUUUAAGAUGAAAUCACUCUAGUUUGGAAAUAUUACUUAUACUGUUGCACUCGUAUUUGUAUUAUCAUGUUGUUGAAUAAGUGUUACCCGCUCAACCAACAGUGAGAGUUGUGCGUGCAAAUAUAAGUAUUAGAAUAUACAGAUUUGUGGAUAACGGAUAAUAUGCAUUUUAUAUAUCUUUUUGGACUUCUUUUUAUGUGAAUCGUCAAGAGAAUAUGUACACGCAUGAACGGGAUAUAUCAUGUCCAUUUCACAAUCUGGUCCAAACAAAGUCGUUUUAAAAUGUGUAACAUUGAAAUGAUUGUGAAUAAAUUGAUACAUAGACUAUCAUAUUUGACUGAUAUUGUUAUUAUAUGACACGAACGGAUACACAGACUAUCAUAAUUGACUGAUAUCGACUAUCAUGUUUUCCCAUUACAUUCUUUAUAAUAACGAUUGCCUAAUGAUAUUUGAAACUGAGUUGAACGUUUAAACAAAUUUAUAAAAACAUAUUUGUGCUAUCUCCGAAACUUAAUUAGGAAAACAGUGACUUUUCGCAUUCAUAAUUUUGGUAUAAAUCAUAUUUUCAAAAAAUAUUUUAAAUUGUGUGACAAUCGGUUUUGUUUUACCCGUCUUUGUAAAAAUCAUGCAGAGGGUGAUUCAUGACAUGUCAUAGAAGUAUUUGUUUUGCUCAAUAUAACUUUGGUUGAUAGGUAAAAUUAUGUCUUUAUUUUCCCUAUAUAAUGCUCGUUGCAAUAGUGACCGUCAAAACAACAUUUUGCCUGAAUAUAGAUGAAAAAGACGCUUUUGAAAAUUGAAAAUAAAGGGAAUUUAAAGUCCGAUAAAAAACCAAAAAAAAACCAAUAAGAUUGUUUACUACAUUAUGAACAAACAAACCCCAAACUAUUCAAAAACGUUAAAAUUAUGAAUUUACUAAAUAGUUUGUUUUCACAGCAACCAUUGAAAAAUGUGUUGAAAUUCGAAAAUGAAAAAAAUAUUGUUAAUUAUCAAUGAGAAUAUAUGAUUUAUAGAGAUAUGUGGGUGCAGAAUAAAAAUUGUUCUCUCUGGGUAUGGUGCAUCCUCUUUUCUGUUUAUUAAAUCUAUUCUUCCAAGUUUAAUUGUGAGUAUUUUGAGCUUUUAAUAAUAAAAUUGAGAAUGGAAAUGGGGAAUGUGCCAAAGAGACAACAACCCGACCAUAGAAAAAAACAACAGCAGAAGGUCACACCAACAGGUCUUCAAUUUAGCGAGAAAUUCCCGCACCCGGAGGCGUCCUUCAGCUGGCACCUAACAAAUAUAUACUAGUUCAGUGAUAAUGAACGCCAUACUAAUUUCCAAAUUGUACACAAGAAACUAAAAUUAAAAUAAUACAAGACUAACAAAGGCCAGAGGCUCCUGACUUGGGACAGGCGCAAAAAUGCGGCGGGGUUAAACAUGUUUGUGAGAUCUCAACCCUCCCCCUAUACCUCUAGCCAAUGUAGAAAAGUAAACGCAUAACAAUACGCACAUUAAAAUUCAGUUCAAGAGAAGUCCGAGUCUGAUGUCAGAAGAUGUAACCAAAGAAAAUAAACAAAAUGACAAUAAUACAUAAAUAACAACAGACUACUAGCAGUUAACUGACAUGCCAGCUCAAGACUUCAAUUGAACUGACUAAAAGAUUAUGAUUUCAUCAUAUGAACAUCAGGCACAAUCCUUCCCGUUAGGGGUUUAGUAUCAUACCAUCAUAACAUAUAUGAGAAGAACAUAACCCGUGUCAUGCCAACAACUGGUUUUUGAAUAAAUGUGUUUAGUUCCGAUGCAAAGACCUUAUAAGUGAAUCAAUAUUAACGCCAAAAUAUGCAAUCUUUAAUGACCUGACAACAGUAUCGUAACUAUAUCCCUUCUUAAUAAGUCUAUUCAAAGGUUUUGUAAGUUUUUGAGGUGAAUACUGACACCUUUGUGUCUUUAUAAAGAAUAUUUCCAUAAAAAUUGGAUGUGAAAUACCUGAAACGUAUAAGAAGUCUGCAUGUUGAGCUAUAUUUACGAAUGAUGUCCUUAUACGAUUGAUAAAAUUUAGUAAAUGUUUUGACUAGUUUGUGAUAUCGAAAACCCUGGUGUAAUAAUUUGUCAGUAAUACAUAAAUUUCUCUCGUUAAAAUCUAAAACAUUAUUACAUACACGAGAGAAUCGUACAAGUUGAGAUAUAUAAACACCGUAAGAUGGUGACAAGGGAACGUCACCAUCUAAAAAUGGAUAAUUAACGAUAGGAAAUGAAAAAUCAUCUCUUUAUCAUAAAUUUUAGUAUUCAGCUUUCCGUUAGUGAUAUAGAUAUCAAGAUCGAGGAAAGGGCAGUGGUCAUUGUUAGUAUUAGCUUUAUUUAAAGUAAGUUCAACAGGAUAAAUUUCUUUAAUAUACAUAUUGAAGUCGUCAUUAUUGAGAGCCAAAAUAUCAUCCAAAUAUCUAAAAGUAUUAUUAAAUUUGUUCAUCAAAUGUUGUUUCGAUGGGUCUUUACUUAUUUUUGUCAUAAAGUUAAUAAUAGUUUUUUUUAUGUUAAAACAAGUGCAAUUAUUUCUAUGGUGAUGACAACCAUGAACCGUUGUUGCGCAAACAGGUUAAUGCAGUGUAAACAGAUUUAGCACUAAUUUUCAAUGAUUGCGUCGAGAUCAACAUUUGACGUCAGGUUCCUUAACUAUGUGGAAUGAAAUGGGUUCCAAGACUUUGUUGAUGUCAAAGCUGGAACUUAUCAAGUCGUUAUAGGGCACCUUGUGUUAGGGGUGAUUACGUUCGCAUUAUUAAACAGAAUGUUUAACGUAUUAAUGUUGACCGCUAUAUUUAUCCUCUCUAUUCUUGUUUUUUUACAAACUUUUAAUUUCUACGAGUCAGCGCAUAAGGUCGUUAUGUGAUUUGGUACUGAAACAGGUCAUGUUUGACUCCGCCGCAUUUUUGCGCCUGUCCCAAGUCAGAUUCCACUGGCCUUUGUUAGUCUUGUUUUAUUUUUAAUUUCAGUUUCUUGUGCAUAACUUGGAGCUUAGUAUGGCGUUCAUUAUUACUGAACUGGUAUAUACAAAAAAAAAUAGGGGCCAGUUGAAGGACGCCUCCGGGUUCAUUGAAGACCUAUUGGUAACCUUAUGCUGUUGUCUGUUCUAUGGUCGGGUUUUUGUCUUAUAGAUACAUUCCCCAUUUCCAUUCUCAAUUUUAUAACAGACGUUUUAAAAAUUUUGCAUCGAUUUAUAGCUUAUAAAUAAUUAAGAAUAAUGACGCCUUUUUCUCCAUAAGCCAACAUUAUUUUUAGAGAAUUUGAUUAUUUUGUAAGUAUUGUUCCUAACGUGUCUACGUGUUUACGUGCAUCACUGAUAUUUAGAUUUUGAAGUUCGUGAUUAAAUUUAAUUCAGAACAGACCAUCGGACACACGACAUUUUAAGAGCAUUUUUCUCAUAUAUUGCCCUAGAAUUUAAUGAUAAAAAGAACGUGUUUGUAAUCCUAUAUUUCUUUUAUCAUGUAUUGUCAAUAUUUAUUACGGGCAGUCAGACAACAUAUAAUAGAACAAUGAGUUUUGAAAACAACAGAGAGAUGGCACUCCUUCUGCUGUACAUUCGAAUGAAACUCAUU